This 126-nucleotide microRNA precursor is filed under the name Brassica oleracea var. oleracea. Its description in RNAcentral is "MIR9563 microRNA precursor family". It matches the Rfam family "MIR9563 microRNA precursor family". Lineage: Eukaryota; Viridiplantae; Streptophyta; Magnoliopsida; Brassicales; Brassicaceae. The record is from Rfam by way of RNAcentral.
GGAAUAUAAGAACCCGUCUCUUAACUUUUAACUAAAAAAAGCUAAGAACCGGUUCUUAAAUAAGAGUUUUAAGAACCGGUUCUUAGUUUUUUUAGUUAAAAAUUAAGAGACGGGUUCUUAUAUUUC